Long non-coding RNA from Micropterus salmoides (largemouth bass), 1198 nucleotides. RefSeq lists it as uncharacterized. The record is from RefSeq and is a predicted model, not a curated record. NCBI's taxonomy places the organism in Eukaryota, Metazoa, Chordata, Actinopteri, Centrarchiformes, Centrarchidae. The transcript is spliced from 3 exons.
AAGACAAUCGAAUUUGCUAACUAAAAGUAAAAAGAGGCUAUUUUUUGUGUCAACCCCUACAAAUAGGCCUACAUAACAAGAUAAAACGACUAGGCUACUUUAUAGGCUUAAUUUCCAUUUAUCUGGUUUGAGAAUGCGUUUAACAAGUUAUUAACAGCAAAUUUUCCAACAUGUUUUGAAUGCAGCACUAUUGUAAGUAACAUGCGGUAUGUUUAGGGUUUAUAUGAUAAAGGUUCAUUUUAAUAUUAGUCUUUCCAACUCUUUUAUUUAUUUAUUUAUUUUUAUUUACAAAUGGGGCUACAAACUCCCCAUGUAUGAUAAAAGUUUUGCUGGAAUUGGGAAAGUAGAUAUCCUGCUGUCGUAGCAGGUGCGCUUUUUGCGCAAAUCCAAGCUGCUUUGCGGCUAUACAUCGGCCUUAUUGGCGGAGACAAACAGCGGUUGUUAAACAGAGACGCUUUGGGGCUUGAAGUCGUGAUUAGAGUCAUGUGAUGAUGGAGAGGAUGGAGGAAGGCAGAGAGGGAAGGAGGGAGGUACAGGAGCGGAGCGCCGCCGGGGAUCACAUAGCGACCCCAAUUUCCUGAACCUGAGGAGAAAAUAUCACAAACACCACUGCCCACACAGACGCUGCCUGCCUCUCCACUCCAGAGUACCCUUCCCCUAAAGACACAAGAAUGAGGGUGACCUAAAGAAGAGAAAUAUGAAUACGAAGCGACUGCAGUGUGGCCCAAACACCAUGGAUGAGUCCCAGCACCAAGACAUAGAUUGUAAAGUGGGAAAACAAGUCUAUGGGGCACACUGAACAUGCCAUCCAAAGACUGAAGCUGCAAAAAAGCUGUUCAAAAUCAAGCUCAGCUUUAGCUUGAGCACGACUGACUCUUCAUUUAAUUAAAUGUUUUGGCAUCCUGGUGGCCACAGGUCUGGGUCUGUCCAGUUGCAAGCACCUUCCCCUCUUCGUCCACAAAAGCCAAUAAUUGCGUACUAAACAAAAAGGGGGAAAGGAUCCACAACAUCACCUGUCAUCAAGCAUGUUCGACACGACUUAAAAGCGAUGGACCAAAGAGCUGGAAACAUCUUAGUGACUGCAGCUACGAUGGACAGCAUUAACAAUGUAUUCCUACAAAGUGUUUAUAAUGCAUGUAUGCACUUCAGAUGUUUAUUGAAUUACAUUUAUGUUUAAAUAAAAAUAUGUAUCAGCGUA